GGGGGGAGCAAGCGUUGUUCGGAAUCACUGGGCGUAAAGGGCGUGUAGGCGGUUCGGUAAGUGGGAUGUGAAAUGCCCGGGCUCACCCCGGGACCUGCAUCCCAAACUGCUGAGCUUGAGUACAGGAGAGGGUGGGGGAAUUCCAGGUGUAGCGGUGAAAUGCGUAGAUAUCUGGAGGAACACCGGUGGCGAAGGCGCCCACCUGGCCUGCUACUGACGCUGAUGCGCGAAAGCUAGGGGAGCAAACGGGAUUAGAUACCCCGGUAGUCCUAGCCGUAAACGGUGAUCACUAGGUGUUGGGAGCAUCGACCCUUCCAGUGCCGCAGCUAACGCAUUAAGUGAUCCGCCUGGGGAGUACGGCCGCAAGGUUGAA
This 373-nucleotide ribosomal RNA is filed under the name uncultured bacterium. RNAcentral describes it as "bacterial SSU rRNA". It matches the Rfam family "Bacterial small subunit ribosomal RNA", at positions 527 to 898 of the family's 1533-position model. The record is from RNAcentral.